RNAcentral lists this ribosomal RNA (255 nucleotides) under uncultured bacterium. Its description in RNAcentral is "partial 16S ribosomal RNA". It matches the Rfam family "Bacterial small subunit ribosomal RNA", at positions 524 to 776 of the family's 1533-position model. The record is from RNAcentral.
UACGAAGGGGGCUAGCGUUGUUCGGAAUCACUGGGCGUAAAGCGCACGUAGGCGGAUCUUUAAGUCAGAGGUGAAAUCCCAAGGCUCAACCUUGGAACUGCCUUUGAUACUGGGGAUCUUGAGUCCGGGAGAGGUGAGUGGAACUGCGAGUGUAGAGGUGAAAUUCGUAGAUAUUCGCAAGAACACCAGUGGCGAAGGCGGCUCACUGGCCCGAUACUGACGCUGAGGCACGGAAAGCGUGGGGAAUCAAACAGG